Molecule: long non-coding RNA, 943 nt
Filed under: Bemisia tabaci
Lineage: Eukaryota; Metazoa; Arthropoda; Insecta; Hemiptera; Aleyrodidae
Description: lncRNA ENSSSA1NGG009429
Source: RNAcentral
GCCUAGCCAUUCCUACGUUAAUAAGGAAAUCGCAAAAGUAGCUCCGAGGCGCAGAAUCAUAUUUCGCGGUAUAGGAAACGCGCCAACUCAAGGCAGUGGUGAAUGGUGUUUUUUUGGUAUGUGUGACGUUUUGCAACCAUGUGGGCUGUAUAACCUCAAUUCCUCCGAUUUAGUCCAUUUAUCAGUUUGCAAAUUUUCGAAAUUUUUUUUUUUCGGUUUUGUUGUUAAUUUUUUUUGUUCCAAUGUCAGAAUUUUAGUGCAAGAAUAUGUCUUUCAAAACGAAAGUCGAUGUGGAUCGACAUGCAGAAGGUGUAUUUCGUAAAUGCCUUUCUGAUCACGAUAAAAAAUUGAAAUCUCUUGUCAUCGGAAAACUAUAUCUGUCAGUCAAGGCCUAUGAUAAUGCUGUUCGCCACUUCCAAGCUUUCCUAUCUGUCAAUGAGAACUCACCUGAGACUUACAAGUUGAUUGGCAAAUGUUUUCAACAGUUGGGAAAACCAGAAAAAGCAAUCGCCUCUUACAAACGUUCAUUAGAACUAGAACCACCUCAACCAGCACUUGUAUUACUCAUCUGUGAGUUAAUCACAGUAUGAAUUUAGUAGAUGUUGGCAUCAACUCGGCUCGUCACUGGUAUGAAAAGGGCAGUGAAUUAUUUCCCAACAAUGCAGUUAUCACCAAUCUCAGACAAAAAAUCGUUGUUGCUGAAAAUAAGGAUCCCAAAGCAGUAGAAAACUUCUACCUGUCGGAAUUAAGAUCCAAUCCAAAUGAUGAGAUUCUCCUCAUCAACUUACUGAAUUUAUACGUGAGCUCCAAACAGUUCGCUGCAGCUCACAAGAAAAUAAUGAGUACCAAGGAAAUCCAGCCUUUCAUCAAAGUUUGGAAUGGCACAGGUGUCUUAGAAAAGUCUACAAGCUUUGUCUUCAAGACACCUCAUCAGAUCAGGUGA